GCAUAUCCCACCAUCAGUAGAUAAAGCUCAUUUUCCAGGGAAGGAAACACCUGAGCUGACCUUAUCCUCCAGGACUCCUGGUGCUUGGGAGGCUGAAGUUCUCAGUAGAUGAGGAGUGGCUACCUAUAAAUAGCCUGUGAACCCCACCUCUCCACAGUUUUGAAAAUAGGUAAAUGCUUCACUGCAGUGACCCCUUCCCAAGAAAGGCUGGAGUGAGAUAGUGAAAUUGCUCCUGGAGCAGCAAUUCUAUUAUUUUAGAUCUGAAGUGACCUUUGGCAUCCUCUCUUUUACUCCCCCCGAGUAUCACUGUUAGGACUGAAUCUCAAGACAGUGGUGAACCCUGGAGUUGCAGAGCUGUGAUUCAAUUAGCCGUGGCUCCAGUGAAUUAGUGGAUAGAAGAAAAGAUUAAUCAAGCUAUGCUUGCAACAUGGACAAACUAUUUUGUGAGAAGCUGUGUCACUACUCUAACCCACGACUUAGCCACCUCGCUGGUGUGAGCCUUUGUGAAUGUUUGAAAGGCUUGCGUGGAAGCCCCACUAUUCAGCAUUUACAGAUUUGUAGUGACUUAGGAUCCGCCCCGUUCAUCUUGCAUCUCCUGAGCAAGUAUACUUGCUGUGAACAGAAGGUGUGUACAUCAGCUGGCCAAGAGACAGCUGGGGAGACUGGCUCACCUCCCUGGCUGUGGGGUCAGCUUCUGGCCAGCGCUGAAACUACACUCAGAUCUCACUUCUAG
RNAcentral lists this long non-coding RNA (733 nucleotides) under Oryctolagus cuniculus (rabbit). RNAcentral describes it as "lncRNA (ENSOCUG00000039643.1)". The record is from RNAcentral. Lineage: Eukaryota; Metazoa; Chordata; Mammalia; Lagomorpha; Leporidae.